AGCACUUUAUGUUUUGUUUUACUUGUGGACAAAGACUAGCAGGUGCAAAAAAUAAAUCCUCUUUUGCAAUACAGAACUCAUUGUUCACUAUGAAUUUUGAUACAUAUAAGAAGGAAUAUU
RNAcentral lists this small nucleolar RNA (120 nucleotides) under Carlito syrichta (Philippine tarsier). Its description in RNAcentral is "Small nucleolar RNA SNORA40 (ENSTSYG00000021487.2)". It matches the Rfam family "Small nucleolar RNA SNORA40". Rfam says of the family: The snoRNA ACA 40 belongs to the H/ACA family of snoRNAs and guides the pseudouridylation of 28S rRNA subunit at position U4565. NB This family has a high threshold value to exclude a large number of closely related sequences that do not appear to have conserved H and ACA boxes, and may be pseudogenes. The record is from Rfam by way of RNAcentral. Lineage: Eukaryota; Metazoa; Chordata; Mammalia; Primates; Tarsiidae.